RNAcentral lists this ribosomal RNA (407 nucleotides) under uncultured bacterium. RNAcentral's name for it is "partial 16S ribosomal RNA". It matches the Rfam family "Bacterial small subunit ribosomal RNA", at positions 30 to 526 of the family's 1533-position model. The record is from RNAcentral.
AUUGAACGCUAGCGGGAUGCCUUACACAUGCAAGUCUAACGGAGUGGCGAACGGGUGAGUAAUGUAUCGGAACGUGCCCAGUAGCGGGGGAUAACUACGCGAAAGCGUAGCUAAUCCCGCAUACGAUUGGAGCGGCCGAUAUCGGAGUAGCUAGUUGGUGGGGUAACGGCUCACCAAGGCGAAGAACCGUAGCUGGGUUGAGAGGACGACCAGCCACACGGGUACGGAGACACGGCCCAGACUCCUACGUGAGGCAGCAGUGGGGAAUUUGGGACAAUGGGGGAAACCCUGAUCCAGCCAUCCCGCGUGUGCGAUGAAGGCCUUCGGGUUGUAUAGCACUUUUGGAAGGAAAGCGGUACCUGCAGAAUAAGCACCGGCUAACUACGUGCCAGCAGCCGCGGUAAUUC